This 646-nucleotide ribosomal RNA is filed under the name uncultured archaeon. RNAcentral's name for it is "partial 16S ribosomal RNA". The record is from RNAcentral.
GUGCUCCCCCGCCAAUUCCUGGUCGGGUCACGUUCUGGUCGAGCCCCUUUUUGUCGACACUUACAGCCUUGAUAAUCUCCCGGAAAGUGGUCGGUUGGUAUUCUCCCGGUUUGCCGGACUCGAGCACUAGUUGAGCAGCUUCGCCGGUUCCCGCAUUUCGCAACUCCAAUACCCCGGAGUUCUUCUUCUGACUAAUAAGUUCAGGCACAUCGGCCGCAAGAUCGGCCACGGCCCGAUUAUACAACGUCACCGCCUGGCUCGAAUUGGAAGAGGGAUUGUUUCCUGUCUUACUCAUUUCGCCUGCAGUUAUCUUGGCUACGGCAAGGUAUUCGAAGGCUUGUCCCUCCGUAUUCAACUUUAUCUUUUCCGCCUUGGCGAGUCGGUGCUCGGCCUGCAAGAGGGUCGGCUCGGUGGUUAGUUUUUCUCGGGUCGCGCACCCGGCGGCGAGGAUGACAAUGGCCAGCGCGAUCGGGGUUUUGCAUCGGACCAGGCCGGGGCUGCAGUGGGAAAAAGAGAUGUUCAUGAGAUUUACCGGGAUUUUGAAAUUAAUCGGUCAGGAUAUUGAAUUCUCUCGCGCUCCGGGUUGUUUCCGUUUCACCGGUGCAUCGCUCAGCACAAGCGUGAGACCCGGCAGGAUCAACCGGAG